Elgaria multicarinata webbii is the source of this 318-nucleotide long non-coding RNA. RefSeq lists it as uncharacterized. The record is from RefSeq and is a predicted model, not a curated record. Lineage: Eukaryota; Metazoa; Chordata; Lepidosauria; Squamata; Anguidae. The transcript is spliced from 2 exons.
UACCCAGGUGUGCAGGUACUACCUAUAAAACACCCGGGUUUAGGGGCACAGGGUGGAAGCCUCAGCAUGGACCUGCAGGCCUGAGGUGCUGUGUCCUUUAGUGGCUACACAGGGGUUCCCUCCGCUGCUAUCUCUCCCGGGCUCCCAGCAGCUGAAAGGAGGAGAUGGUUUUGCUUGACUUGGUAAGAACCGUUCUUGUGAGUUGGCAAGACAGAGGGGUCCCACUGAAAGCGGCCAUCAAAAAGCUGGAGUCGGCACUGGCACACCCACACACAACCAUCUGUCUGAUGUGCAGUAAAACCUGUCAGUUGGGGUAAA